This 255-nucleotide unclassified non-coding RNA is filed under the name uncultured fungus. Its description in RNAcentral is "partial contains small subunit ribosomal RNA, internal transcribed spacer 1, and 5.8S ribosomal RNA". The stretch from base 1 to 73 matches the Rfam family "Eukaryotic small subunit ribosomal RNA", at positions 1759 to 1831 of the family's 1831-position model. Lineage: Eukaryota; Fungi. The record is from RNAcentral.
GCAAACUUGGUCAUUUAGAGGAAGUAAAAGUCGUAACAAGGUUUCCGUAGGUGAACCUGCGGAAGGAUCAUUAAAAAUCUAACUGUUUAAAUAUUGAAAAAUAUUUGAACUAUUCAACCUUUGAUUCAUAUGAGUUGAGUGAAUCAAAAAACCUUUUAAACCUGUCUUGAAAUUCUGAAUUUUAAUUUUUUAAAUGAAAAUUAUAAAACUUUCAACAACGGAUCUCUUGGUUCUCGCAUCGAUGAAGAACGCAGC